Molecule: small RNA, 125 nt
Filed under: Marmota monax (woodchuck)
Lineage: Eukaryota; Metazoa; Chordata; Mammalia; Rodentia; Sciuridae
Source: RNAcentral
GCCGGGCGCGGUGGCUCACGUCUGUAAUCCCAGCCGCAUGGGAGGCUGAGGCAGGAGGAUCACGAGUUCAAAGCCAGCCUCAGCAAUGGCGAGGCCCUAAGCAACUCAGUGAGACCCUGUCUCUA